CAACCAUCAAGCUCAGCUUGCGUUGGGGGCCUGCGGCUGCCGCAGCCCCUUAAAAUCAGUGGCGGGCUCACUAUCAUUCCGAGCGCAGUAGUUAUAUCUCGCUCCGGGCGUGGCGGUGGGCACUUGCCGUAAAACACUUUCCAAA
This 145-nucleotide unclassified non-coding RNA is filed under the name uncultured Sordariomycetes. Its description in RNAcentral is "sequence contains ITS2". The record is from RNAcentral. Lineage: Eukaryota; Fungi; Ascomycota; Sordariomycetes.